This 425-nucleotide ribosomal RNA is filed under the name uncultured bacterium. RNAcentral's name for it is "bacterial SSU rRNA". It matches the Rfam family "Bacterial small subunit ribosomal RNA", at positions 356 to 773 of the family's 1533-position model. The record is from RNAcentral.
GGGGAAUAUUGCACAAUGGGCGCAAGCCUGAUGCAGCCAUGCCGCGUGUGUGAAGAAGGCCUUCGGGUUGUAAAGCACUUUCAGCGGGGAGGAAGGCGGUAAGGUUAAUAACCUUAUCGAUUGACGUUACCCGCAGAAGAAGCACCGGCUAACUCCGUGCCAGCAGCCGCGGUAAUACGGAGGGUGCAAGCGUUAAUCGGAAUGACUGGGCGUAAAGCGCACGCAGGCGGUCUGUUAAGUUGGAUGUGAAAUCCCCGGGCUUAACCUGGGAACUGCAUUCAAAACUGACAGGCUAGAGUCUUGUAGAGGGGGGUAGAAUUCCAGGUGUAGCGGUGAAAUGCGUAGAGAUCUGGAGGAAUACCGGUGGCGAAGGCGGCCCCCUGGACAAAGACUGACGCUCAGGUGCGAAAGCGUGGGGAGCAAAC